RNAcentral lists this long non-coding RNA (227 nucleotides) under Lathyrus oleraceus (garden pea). Its description in RNAcentral is "Pisum sativum (pea) long non-coding RNA (PSAT_LNC006318)". The record is from RNAcentral. Lineage: Eukaryota; Viridiplantae; Streptophyta; Magnoliopsida; Fabales; Fabaceae.
GAAUUAGUACCAUGAAUUUUGCCGAGCUUCAGCCAGCUCUCAAUUCUCUCCCCUGCCACGACAAUAUCGGAAAAGUUGGUCACCGGACAACCAACCAUCCUUUCAGCAUAAGCCCCCUGCAGGGUCCCCGUGAAUAGAUCAGACAUUUCUCUGUCAACUAGAGGAGGUUGCACUCUUGCAGCCAGUUCUCUCCACCGCUGAGCAUACUCUUUAAAUCCUUCAUUGUU